Molecule: long non-coding RNA, 4063 nt
Organism: Gopherus flavomarginatus (Mexican gopher tortoise)
Lineage: Eukaryota; Metazoa; Chordata; Testudines; Testudinidae
Exons: 3
Source: RefSeq, a predicted model, not a curated record
CACUCCUCUUCCCUCCUUCCUCCCAUCGCUUGCUGCUUUUCCCCUCCCAUCUCCCCGCCCGGGUCAGGAGAAACUCGGCUGCAGAGCCAGGACUGGGAGCUGCAGCUGCCCAACGCCGGUCAGAGGCGGCCCCACCUCCCCUACCCACAGUAACCGGACAUUGGGUGUGCGGUCAGUAGAUCUGACCGGACACUGUUAGGUCCCCAUUUUAACCAGACUUCCUGAUUGAAAACCGGGCCCCUGGCCACCUAGAUCUGGAGUGCAAUGGGAAUGCUCUUCUGCAGCUGUAAAGGAAACCAAAGACCCCUCCCUUGGCCAGGCUGGCAAAGGCUUGUAAAAGAAGAGACCUCUUUGUGGAGCAGCCUUGGAAAGAAUCCAGCCAGGAGCUGAUGAAAAGACGGCUGUGAUGGGCAUAGGCAAGGAGGUGGCUUUGACUGCAACAGGACGAGAGCCUGUGCCACGUGCCCUUGCGAUUCGCUGGGGAUGUCAUCGUGCGGAGAUCCCAAGAGUGCCACGUCUGCAGGGCUGGCAGGAAAUGGAGCGUUACUCCCAGUUCACCUCACUUUCGAUUGUCGUUGGGGAAGAUGUGGAGCAGGGAGGAGAAAAGCCCCCCGAGGGUGGCACAGUGGCUAAGCUGACAGCAGGAUCCGCCGGGUAAAGAAGAGAUUCUGGAUCCGGCUCCCAGGGUGCCUCGCCAAACGUGUCUCCUCUUCCUACUUUGUUGUCUAUCUUUGGAAGAAACGGAAAAACCCACUGGAUCUGCGGAAGACACUAGGCAGAGAACUAAGCACUCUGUGGCCACAGCUGGGGACAGAGGAGUCUCCGCCAAAGUCCUUUCCCACUAGCAGGGACCUCUCUGUGCACGGAGCUCCUGAGAGCUGGGUGUCUCCAGGGAGUGGAGAACUCUGUGUCGGCCGCUCUUUGGGUCUUUCCCAGUGAACAUCUGCCGUGGUUGUUGCAAGGCCUCCAGAGAGUGGCCUUUCGGGAGAGCUGGCCGAAGAGCCUUCCCGGUAACCAGGAGAUGCCGGCAUGGCCGGCCAGUUGUUCCUCGCUGAGCCCAGCUUGUCUGUGCGGCUCCGUUUUUUGUCACUCUUCCUCGUAAGCCGACACACACAGCCCUUUACAAAGCAGCUACGCUGCCUACUCUGACCCCAGCCACAGGGACCCUAUGGGAGCUGUCCCCAAAACUACCCCACCCAAACUCCAGAAACUUCCGAAGGUGAAGGAACAAAUCCACCUAGCAACAAUGACCCAGACACAACUCACGCCUACUCCUUCGCCCCGCUGCUAAGGGGUCUCUUAAAGAGAUAGCUCCCUAUUAGGCACAUGGGUUACAAACGCAGAGUACAAACCACUAUGUGACCUCGGCUGCCACUUUGAAAACUCUCUCUGUGCCCACCUGUGGCUUUCUGUGCCCAGGGAGCCGGACAGCUCCAUGUCCGCCGGGCUUGCAGAAAAUGGGUUAAUUCUCUGCUUUGGAAUUGGCCAGUUUCCUCUUGGACCACCAAGUGGGGCAGUUUAGGAGGGCUUUGUGAAGGGAGGCACCGUGGCUAAGCAGGCUAUGAAAAGGCGGCCAUGACGGGCAUUGGCAAGGAGGUGGCUUUGACUGCAGUUGCUGCGGGACAAGAGCUGAUGCUGUGUGCCCUAGCAAUUCGCUGGGGAUGUCAAGGUGCAGAGAUCCUGAUAUUCAGUGGAGAACAGCCAUGUAAUGCAUUGCCCACCUCCCAGGAGAAUAGACUCAUAGAUUCAUAGACUUUAGGGUCAGAAGGGACCAAUGUGAUCAUCUAGUCUGACCCCCUGCACAAAGCAGGCCACAGAACCCUACCCAUCCACUUCUAUAACAAACCCCUAACCUAUGUCCGAGUUAUUGAAGUCUUCAAAUUGAGGUUUGAAGACCUCAAGCUGCAGAGAAUCCACCAGCAAGUGACCCGUGCCCCAUGCUGCAGAGGAAGGCGAAAAACCUCCAGGACCUCUGCCAAUCUGCCCCGGAGGAAAAUUCCUUCCUGACCCCAAAUAUGGCGAUCAGCUAAACCCUGAGCAUGUGGGCAAGACUCAUCAGCCAGCACUCAGGAAAGAAUUCUCUGCAGUAACUCAGAUCCCAUCCCAUCCAGCAUCCCAUCACAGACCACUGGGCAUACUUAUCUGCUGAUAAUCAAAGAUCAAUUGCCAAAAUUAAGCUAUCCCAUCAUACCAUCCCUUUGAUAAAUUUAUCAAUCUUAGUCUUAAAGCCAGAUAUGUCUUUUGCCCCCACUACUCCCCUUGGAAGGCUGGUCCAGAACUUCACUCCUCUGAUGGUUAGAAACCUUCGUCUAAUUUCAAGUCUAAACUUCCUAGUGUCCAGUUUAUAUCCAUUUGUUCUUGAGUCCACAUUGGUACUAAUCUUAAAUAAUUCCUCUCCCUCCCUAAUAUUAAUCCCUCUGAUAUAUUUAUAAAGAGCAAGCAUAUCCCCCCUCAGCCUUCUUUCGGCUAGGCUAAACAAGCCAAGCUCUUUGAGUCUCCUUUCAUAAGAAAGGUUUUCCAUUCCUCGGAUCAUCCUAGUAGCCCAUCUCUGAACCUGUUCCAGUUUGAAUUCAUCCUGAAUACCCUGAUCAUCCAAGCUGUCCAGUCAUUCCUGCCCUUUUCUGGACCAGUAAACAGGGCUUCAUUUGUGCCUGGCACCUCUGGGCCUGGCAGUUCAGAGCCCUGGCACCUCUGGGCCUGGCCAUUCCUAGCCCUGGCACCUCUGGGCCUGGCUGUUCCAAGCCCCGGCACCUCCGGGCCUGGCCGUUCAGAGCCCUGGCACCUACAGGCCUGGCUGUUCAGAGCCCUGGCACCUACGGGCCUGGCCGUUCCUAGCCCUGGCACCUCUGGACUUGGCACAUCAGUUAGGAAAGUAAAAAAUUGCUUGAGUCCCGGCACCUCUUCCAUUACAAAUGAAUCCCGGCCAAUAAGUAACACUGGGCAUGUGGCACAGACGCUGUUCACCAGAGCUCAGCAUCUCAGAGCUGCCCCAGUCGUGGAGGUGAUUCGAUCCCAGAUGGGUGAGGUCUCCCGGAUGGCAUGGUGUCCCUCUCUGCCUUCCCCAGAGAUCCUAGUCCGACGUUCCUUCCAGGGGUCCUGCUGGUUCUUUACCUUUUCUUUAUGGCACAUGCAGACUCAGGGAAAGGAUGGGUCUGGAAGUCAGUGCUCCUGGGGUCUCAAAUUGUGGGGUCACAACCCCUCGGGGGGGGUCACAAGGUUAUUAUGUGAGGGCUGCAAGCACACGCCUCCCACCUAGCUAGCAAGUCUGGUUGCAGGCUCCCAGGGAUUAAUUAACGCCUGCUCUGUGGCCCUGCGGUGACAUGAGGUUUGGGGAGGCUUAGCCUCCAUCAGCCUCCAUUACGUAUUGCCAGUGGGGGAGCUCUGUAAUGAAUAUUCCCUUGACCAGUAUUGAUGUGAUGCUCAGGGCUUGUCUAGGCUAGGAAAAGUGAUGGAGAUUUGGUGAGGUCAAGGGGAAAGCGAACCUCAUUCUCUGUCCCAACGUUUAUAUCUGCACCGGAACUAUAUGUGUGUGUUUACAUCAGGAUAGCUCCCUUCAGCAGCAAACUCCAUGUACAAUCUGAGUGGAGACAAGGGACAGGUCGUUUUCACCUCACUGGAGCUAGCUGUGGUCAAACAUAUCUCCCUCACCUGGGGGGAUGAGCCUUCCUGGCAGGACAGACACACGCUCCAGUUCCUCAUAAGACCACAGAGUGGACAGAAAGCAUCAUGGCAUUCGCCUCCCCAAAAAUGAGCUGCAAAUGGCAGAAGCAAGAAACUCACCUGCAGGAGAUGAGAAACCACAAUUCAGGCAGUGGCGCAAAGCGCUUGACAGGGUACAACGUGGGAAUGAGAUGUGUAUUUAAAAAUAAAUAAAUAAAUAAAUAAAAGAACACUUUAGCCCAGCCUUAGUCAAGACAUUUGUGGCAUUAUCCCAUGUGUAUUCCCUGAGGAGUGACAGGGCCUGAGCUUCAACUGAAGCUUUUCCCGCACUUGGCGCAGGUGUAGGGCGUCUCGCCGGUGUGGAUGGUCUGAUGACGAAUGAAGGUCGAGCUCCGACUGAAGU